RNAcentral lists this transfer RNA (91 nucleotides) under Marinactinospora thermotolerans DSM 45154. RNAcentral's name for it is "tRNA_Ser_TGA". It matches the Rfam family "tRNA". From Rfam's summary of the family: Transfer RNA (tRNA) molecules are approximately 80 nucleotides in length. Their secondary structure includes four short double-helical elements and three loops (D, anti-codon, and T loops). Lineage: Bacteria; Bacillati; Actinomycetota; Actinomycetes; Streptosporangiales; Nocardiopsidaceae. The record is from RNAcentral.
GGAGGGUUCGCAUAGUGGCCGAGUGCGACGGUCUUGAAAACCGUUAGGUCCUUACGGGGCCUCGUGGGUUCAAAUCCCACACCCUCCGCCG